GGUGUGACGUGUCGGAUUUGGGCGUAAGAGCUCGUAGGCGGCUUGUCGCGUCUGCUGUGAAACCCGGGGCUCACCCCGGGCCUGCAGUGGGUACGGGCAGGCUAGAGUGCGGUAGGGGAGAUUGGAAUUCCUGGUGUAGCGGUGGAAUGCGCAGAUAUCAGGAGGAACACCGAUGGCGAAGGCAGAUCUCUGGGCCGCUACUGACGCUGAGGAGCGAAAGCAUGGGGAGCGAACAGGAUUAGAUACCCUGGUAGUCCAUGCCGUAAACGUUGGGAACUAGAUGUAGGGCCUGUUCCACGGGUUCUGUGUCGUAGCUAACGCAUUAAGUUCCCCGCCUGGGGAGUACGGCCGCAAGGCUAAAACUCAAAGGAAUUGACGGGGGCCCGCACAAGCGGCGGAGCAUGCGGAUUAAUUCGAUGCAACGCGAAGAACCUUACCAAGGCUUGACAUAUACGAGAACGGGCGAGAGAUCGUCAACUCUUUGGACACUCGUAUACAGGUGGUGCAUGGUUGUCGUCAGCUCGUGUCGUGAGAUGUUCGGUUAAGUCCGGCAACGAGCGCAACCCUCGUCCUAUGUUGCCAGCACGUUAUGGUGGGAACUCAUGGGAUACUGCCGUGGUCAACACGGAGGAAGGUGGGGAUGACGUCAAAUCAUCAUGCCCCUUAUGUCUUGGGCUUCACGCAUGCUACAAUGGCCGAUACAAAGGGCUGCGAUACCGCGAGGUGGAGCGAAUCCCAAAAAGUCGGUCUCAGUUCGGAUUGGGGUCUGCAACUCGACCCCAUGAAGUCGGAGUCGCUAGUAAUCGCAGAUCAGCAACGCUGCGGUGAAUACGUUCCCGGGCCUUGUACACACCGCCCGUCAAGUCAUGAAAGUCGGUAACACCCGAAGCCGGUGGCCUAACCCUUGUGGAGGGAGCCGUCGAAGGUGGGACUGGUGAUUAGGACUAAGUCUAAGAGGGGAAACCCGAUAAAAAGCAGAAAA
Molecule: ribosomal RNA, 982 nt
Filed under: Leucobacter komagatae
Lineage: Bacteria; Bacillati; Actinomycetota; Actinomycetes; Micrococcales; Microbacteriaceae
Description: bacterial SSU rRNA
Rfam family: Bacterial small subunit ribosomal RNA
Source: RNAcentral